This 253-nucleotide ribosomal RNA is filed under the name uncultured bacterium. RNAcentral describes it as "partial 16S ribosomal RNA". It matches the Rfam family "Bacterial small subunit ribosomal RNA", at positions 524 to 776 of the family's 1533-position model. The record is from RNAcentral.
GACAGAGGUGCCGAGCGUUAGGCGGAAUCACUGGGCUUAAAGCGUGUGUAGGCGGAUGGGUAAGUACCUUGUGAAAUCCCACGGCUCAACCGUGGAACCGCUGGGUAUACUGCCUGUCUUGAGGCGACUAGGGGCUGUCGGAACAAGUGGUGGAGCGGUGAAAUGCGUAGAUAUCACUUGGAACGCCAACGGUGAAAACAGACAGCUGGGGUCGUCCUGACGCUGAGACACGAAAGCCAGGGGAGCAAACGGG